GCCGUUGCCAUGGCGACCGCGGGGCCGCCGCUCCAGGAGAGACCCGGGAGAGCUCCGGGAAUAAUUAAUUCGGGAAUAAUUCGGGAAUAAUUGGGGAUUAAUGCGGAAAUUAAUGAGGGAAUUAAUGCGGGAAUCGCGGCCUCACCGCCCCUCCCGCAGCCCCGCUCUGCGCCCCGGUCCUGGGCAGUGCGAGGCGGGGACAGGCCCGGCCUCCGCGGGGCUGCGAUUUGAGGAUCUGGGGAUGAGGCUGCAGUUGUUGCUCCUUUCCCAGCUUUGGCAGGAGCUCAGGAUGGGAUGCUGCUGCCAGGGCCGUGUUUGCACAGGGAUCUCUUUCAUUGCUCAGCCCUUGCCCCGCUCUGGGGCCGCUGCAGCUCCUUUGUGCAGAUAAAAGAGUUCAGUGAGGAACUCCUCGUGCUGCUGCUCUGCCAGCCUGGAGGGCACCUCCAACGAGAUUAAUGAUUUCUGCCUUCAGAGAAGAAAACUUUGCAUAAAUGAGAUUACGCUUUCUGCUGAAACCUGCCAACUCUUAUUCAUUUGCAGUAAAUAUUAUCUUUAAUUAAAAGUUUUAAGG
This is a non-coding RNA of Taeniopygia guttata (zebra finch), 571 nucleotides long. Lineage: Eukaryota; Metazoa; Chordata; Aves; Passeriformes; Estrildidae. The record is from RefSeq and is a predicted model, not a curated record.